Non-coding RNA from Triticum aestivum (bread wheat), 135 nucleotides. NCBI's taxonomy places the organism in Eukaryota, Viridiplantae, Streptophyta, Magnoliopsida, Poales, Poaceae. The record is from Rfam.
CAACUACUCCCUCUGUCCCAAAUUUCUUGUCUUAGAUUUGUCUAGAUACGGAUGUAUCUAAUACUAAAAUGUGAUUUGAUACAUCCGUAUCUAGACAAAUCUAAGACAAGAAUUUUGGGACGGAGGGAGUACUUU